RNAcentral lists this ribosomal RNA (110 nucleotides) under Yersinia rochesterensis. The record is from RNAcentral. Lineage: Bacteria; Pseudomonadati; Pseudomonadota; Gammaproteobacteria; Enterobacterales; Yersiniaceae.
CCUGGCGGCCAUAGCGCGGUGGACCCACCUGAUCCCAUGCCGAACUCAGAAGUGAAACGCCGUAGCGCCGAUGGUAGUGUGGGGUCUCCCCAUGCGAGAGUAGGACACUG